RNAcentral lists this ribosomal RNA (474 nucleotides) under uncultured bacterium. RNAcentral's name for it is "SSU rRNA". It matches the Rfam family "Bacterial small subunit ribosomal RNA", at positions 26 to 518 of the family's 1533-position model. The record is from RNAcentral.
AGAGUGAACGCUGGCGGCAGGCCUAACACAUGCAAGUCGAGCGGCAGCACGGGUAGCAAUACCUGGUGGCGAGCGGCGGACGGGUGAGGAAUACAUCGGAAUCUGCCUUGUCGUGGGGGAUAACGUAGGGAAACUUACGCUAAUACCGCAUACGACCGAGAGGUGAAAGCGGGGGAUCGCAAGACCUCGCGCGACAAGAUGAGCCGAUGUCGGAUUAGCUAGUUGGCGGGGUAAGAGCCCACCAAGGCGACGAUCCGUAGCUGGUCUGAGAGGAUGAUCAGCCACACUGGAACUGAGACACGGUCCAGACUCCUACGGGAGGCAGCAGUGGGGAAUAUUGGACAAUGGGCGCAAGCCUGAUCCAGCCAUGCCGCGUGGAUGAUGAAGGCCCUAGGGUUGUAAAGUCCUUUCGACGGGGAAGAUAAUGACGGUACCCGUAGAAGAAGCCCCGGCUAACUUCGUGCCAGCAGCCGC